AACGAACGCUGGCGGCAGGCUUAACACAUGCAAGUCGAGCGCACCGCAAGGUGAGCGGCAGCCGGGUGAGUAACGCGUGGGAAUCUACCCAACCCUACGGAAUAACCCAGGGAAACUUGGACUAAUACCGUAUACGCCCUUUUGGGGAAAGAUUUAUCGGGGAUGGAUGAGCCCGCGUUGGAUUAGCUAGUUGGUGGGGUAAAGGCCUACCAAGGCGACGAUCCAUAGCUGGUCUGAGAGGAUGAUCAGCCACAUUGGGACUGAGACACGGCCCAAACUCCUACGGGAGGCAGCAGUGGGGAAUAUUGGACAAUGGGCGCAAGCCUGAUCCAGCCAUGCCGCGUGAGUGAUGAAGGCCUUAGGGUUGUAAAGCUCUUUCAGUAGGGAAGAUAAUGACGGUACCUACAGAAGAAGCCCCGGCUAACUUCGUG
This 431-nucleotide ribosomal RNA is filed under the name uncultured bacterium. RNAcentral's name for it is "partial 16S ribosomal RNA". It matches the Rfam family "Bacterial small subunit ribosomal RNA", at positions 29 to 507 of the family's 1533-position model. The record is from RNAcentral.